Zonotrichia leucophrys gambelii is the source of this 2498-nucleotide long non-coding RNA. RefSeq lists it as uncharacterized. The transcript is spliced from 3 exons. NCBI's taxonomy places the organism in Eukaryota, Metazoa, Chordata, Aves, Passeriformes, Passerellidae. The record is from RefSeq and is a predicted model, not a curated record.
AGCUGUUUCUGGACAGUUAAGGGAUGAACUGUGCUCCCUUCCCUCCCACUCCCUCUCAGCCCAGCUGACCCCAUGGACACACCCUGAGCCCUCCACCCCAGCCAGGUAAUAAACACUGCAGCCUGCACCUGAUCAGGAACUCAGAUCCAACAUGCAGAAGCUCAGGGAGCAACACUUCACUGACAGGGCUGUUUCAGGCUCCUGAAGGAUCCUCCCUCGAGCAGCAGGACCUCACUGAUUGCAGAGCAGUCAGGCCAUCAGCACCUCUUUGCUUCUCAAUGCAUCUUCUCCAGAGACAGCUAAACAGCUGUCAGGCAUCUACUCCAAACCCUCCCUUUCCCAGUGCACCUGAGCUCUCCUGCUGUGCCCAUCCUGCACGGCUUGCUCAGGUUUUCCUCCUCACUGAAUGGUAUUUGUAAAGCAAGUGAAUGUUUCCAUGGAUGGCAUGGUAAAAUAUCCUACUGGUGAAUGAAUCUCUGUGCCCACUGCUGACCUCCAUGGGACCCGAGAUGAGCAGAAGACAGCAGUGAGGGAGGAAUGACUGCAAGAUAACAUCCUGUAGAACUCACUAAGCUACCAGGCUGGUCUUAAGAGAUUCAAGGCAAGCUCAGUUUAAAAGACAACUUCUGCACAGCCAAACACUGUUCCAAACACGUGGCACCUAAACCUUAUCACCACAUUUGCAACUGAUGAACACCAUCAUGAAACCAUGGACUUACAACAAUCUAAAGCCUCUUCAUGCAAGUCAAACACACUGUGGUGGUUUGGUGCUCCCAAGCACCUCUUGUGCUCAGCAGGCCCAGAACAAAAACCACUCAGUUCCUGGCUGGAAUCAAGGGAAUUUACUUAAUAAAUGCAGGAGGAGCACAAACAGAUAAGGACACACAACCAACUGGACUUUGAUGGAUGCACAUCCUGAAAUUAGGAAAAUGAUGUGGUACAAACAGGAAAAUGUAAUCAAGUUUCCUAUGUUCAAAGUGUUAAUUUUAAAGCUGUUCCAAAAACGUUUUGCAAUGACACUGGAUUAUUUCAUGCUCUCAGACUCAUCUAAGUUUUUUCUGCAAAAGCUCUCACACAAAGACAGUGAAGUCUCAGGAGGAGAGAGUGACUGCCAAAGGGAAGCGCUGUUCCACAUGAAGAGUUUUCCUAUUUCUAACAUCCAUAAAACCUCCAUAUGAAACCUUGGUUCAUAAAAGUUAAUGAGCUUGAUCACAAGUCCUGCCCUGGCUCUGGAGAUUGAUGUGUUUGCAUGACACAACACACCAGGGUGUAGGGAUAGCUGUCCCCAGUCCCAGCACAGAGGAAUCCCCUCACUUCACCUGCAGCAAGCUGUGUCACAUCUAUCGAGUUGUGACUUACAAUCCUCUCUUUUUAUGCAGAAUGCUCAAAAUGUGGGCAAGGAGCUUGUGUGUGCUGCCUUAUAAAUAUGCUUCAACCCUUAUGUGAAAGGGUUCAGUCCAGGAUGAAGAGUUGGUGCUCUGGAACAUCAAGUCUUUGGCUUUUCUGUUGAAACUGCAACCAAGGCCCAUUUGGUACCAGUUAUUUGCUUCCAUAGACACUUGUCCACCUGGUCCCCUCCUGAAAAUCCCAUUUCACACCUGGAAUUACAUGAAUCUAAGCUAGCAAUCUGGGGACUGAAGCCUUGGCACUGCCCCGGUCCUGCCACCACUUCUACCUCAGUUUUCAGCUUUUGUUUAAAAUGUGCUCAGGACAAACAAAGCUGCUUCACACCCACCCUGAGUACCAGAGCCUCUCAGCCCCCAGGUGCUCUGCCAGACUGAAUGCUAAUGAGACAACAUUCAGAUUAAUAAUUAGAUAUGAAACAAAGGUGUUUGUUUUCCCUAGAGAGAAACCAUACUGGAAGGCAGGGGACCACAGAGCAGCUGGAAUGAAGAGAACCAGAGACCAUUUACUGGCUGGUAACGAAUGCUCCUGACCUCUGGGCUCAUUUCUCUACUGAAAUGAGCCAAAAGCCACCCAACAAAGAGUUUCCCCAGGUCAGGCUUAGCCUGUGAUUCCCAGCCCAGGCAUGUCCAGUUUAACAAUCAGACUCUGCAGUCCUGGGCAGAAAAGAACACUGAGCCAGACAAACAAAGGAAAAAAGAAAUUGAGACAGUUAUAAUAUUUUAUCCAUUUGCAUCUCAUCUGUUCCACAGUGGAACACUGCCUUAGCCUGACAUGAGCAGGGUACAAGAAGCUUCUUUUUGGAUGCAGCAGAAAAAGCAGCAUUGGAGUCAAAGGCUCCAGUUGUGUUUGUACAGCUGGCAUUAUCUCCUAACCUUCUUGUGUUUCAGCUCAGAGCAGAGGCAGAGCCUGCCUGCCAGGAGGGGACAGGAAGGAUCACCUUCUCUCCCCCCAGCUGCCUGGAAUGAGGCAGGACAUGCAGAGGAUGCCAGAUCAUCCCAGGCUGAGGCGCAGAUCUUGCUGCAGCAGCAGGACACGAGGAUGCUGUUACUUCAUGGCUCUGUGACUCCACCUGAUGCCAGAGGCAGGGCAGC